This 542-nucleotide unclassified non-coding RNA is filed under the name Candida albicans. Its description in RNAcentral is "sequence contains 18S rRNA gene, ITS1, 5.8S rRNA gene, ITS2, 28S rRNA gene". The stretch from base 184 to 337 matches the Rfam family "5.8S ribosomal RNA". Lineage: Eukaryota; Fungi; Ascomycota; Pichiomycetes; Serinales; Debaryomycetaceae. The record is from RNAcentral.
UCGUAACAAGGUUUCCGUAGGUGAACCUGCGGAAGGAUCAUUACUGAUUUGCUUAAUUGCACCACAUGUGUUUUUCUUUGAAACAAACUUGCUUUGGCGGUGGGCCCAGCCUGCCGCCAGAGGUCUAAACUUACAACCAAUUUUUUAUCAACUUGUCACACCAGAUUAUUACUUAAUAGUCAAAACUUUCAACAACGGAUCUCUUGGUUCUCGCAUCGAUGAAGAACGCAGCGAAAUGCGAUACGUAAUAUGAAUUGCAGAUAUUCGUGAAUCAUCGAAUCUUUGAACGCACAUUGCGCCCUCUGGUAUUCCGGAGGGCAUGCCUGUUUGAGCGUCGUUUCUCCCUCAAACCGCUGGGUUUGGUGUUGAGCAAUACGACUUGGGUUUGCUUGAAAGACGGUAGUGGUAAGGCGGGAUCGCUUUGACAAUGGCUUAGGUCUAACCAAAAACAUUGCUUGCGGCGGUAACGUCCACCACGUAUAUCUUCAAACUUUGACCUCAAAUCAGGUAGGACUACCCGCUGAACUUAAGCAUAUCAAUAA